UGGGGAAUAUUGCACAAUGGGCGCAAGCCUGAUGCAGCCAUGCCGCGUGUGUGAAGAAGGCCUUCGGGUUGUAAAGCACUUUCAGCGGGGAGGAAGGCGUUAAGGUUAAUAACCUUGGCGAUUGACGUUACCCGCAGAAGAAGCACCGGCUAACUCCGUGCCAGCAGCCGCGGUAAUACGGAGGGUGCAAGCGUUAAUCGGAAUUACUGGGCGGAAAGCGCACGCAGGCGGUCUGUCAAGUCGGGUGUGAAAUCCCCGGGCUUAACCUGGGAACUGCAUUCGAAACUGGCAGGCUAGAGUCUUGUAGAGGGGGGUAGAAUUCCGGGUGUAGCGGUGAAAUGCGUAGAGAUCUGGAGGAAUACCGGUGGCGAAGGCGGCCCCCUGGACAAGGACUGACGCUAAGGUGCGAAAGCGUGGGGAGCAAACAGG
Molecule: ribosomal RNA, 429 nt
Filed under: Chloroflexota bacterium
Lineage: Bacteria; Bacillati; Chloroflexota
Description: Chloroflexi bacterium partial 16S ribosomal RNA
Rfam family: Bacterial small subunit ribosomal RNA
Source: RNAcentral